GAGUUUGAUCUUGGCUCAGAUUGAACGCUGGCGGCAUGCCUUACACAUGCAAGUCGAACGGCAGCGUGAUCUAGCUUGCUAGAUUGAUGGCGAGUGGCGAACGGGUGAGUAAUACAUCGGGAACGUGCCCUGUAGUGGGGGAUAACUAGUCGAAAGAUUAGCUAAUACCGCAUACGACCUGAGGGUGAAAGUGGGGGACCGCAAGGCCUCAUGCUAUAGGAGCGGCCGAUGUCUGAUUAGCUAGUUGGUGGGGUAAAGGCCCACCAAGGCGACGAUCAGUAGCUGGUCUGAGAGGACGAUCAGCCACACUGGGACUGAGACACGGCCCAGACUCCUACGGGAGGCAGCAGUGGGGAAUUUUGGACAAUGGGCGAAAGCCUGAUCCAGCAAUGCCGCGUGUGUGAGAAGGCCUCGGUUGUAAGG
This 423-nucleotide ribosomal RNA is filed under the name uncultured microorganism. RNAcentral describes it as "bacterial SSU rRNA". It matches the Rfam family "Bacterial small subunit ribosomal RNA", at positions 9 to 430 of the family's 1533-position model. The record is from RNAcentral.